RNAcentral lists this ribosomal RNA (407 nucleotides) under uncultured bacterium. Its description in RNAcentral is "bacterial SSU rRNA". It matches the Rfam family "Bacterial small subunit ribosomal RNA", at positions 354 to 777 of the family's 1533-position model. The record is from RNAcentral.
GUGGGGAAUAUUGCACAAUGGGCGAAAGCCUGAUGCAGCAACGCCGCGUGAAGGAAGAAGGCCUUCGGGUCGUAAACUUCUGUCCUUGGGGAAGAAGAACUGACGGUACCCAAGGAGGAAGCCCCGGCUAACUACGUGCCAGCAGCCGCGGUAAUACGUAGGGGGCAAGCGUUAUCCGGAAUUAUUGGGCGUAAAGAGUACGUAGGUGGCAACCUAAGCGCAGGGUUUAAGGCAAUGGCUCAACCAUUGUUCGCCCUGCGAACUGGGAUGCUUGAGUGCAGGAGAGGAAAGCGGAAUUCCUAGUGUAGCGGUGAAAUGCGUAGAUAUUAGGAGGAACACCAGUGGCGAAGGCGGCUUUCUGGACUGUAACUGACACUGAGGUACGAAAGCGUGGGGAGCAAACAGGA